Molecule: long non-coding RNA, 429 nt
Filed under: Mus musculus (house mouse)
Lineage: Eukaryota; Metazoa; Chordata; Mammalia; Rodentia; Muridae
Description: long non-coding RNA chr17:36703774-36704203
Source: RNAcentral
GCAUCAAUGGACCCAUUUAUAUCUCAAUGAAUGGAGACCUGAGGACUUGGACUACAGCUGGCAGAACAGCUGAAAGACUCAGACAACUGUGGGAGGGGUUAGAUUACGCACAAAAUGUGAAGACUUACCUGGAGUUUGAAUGUCAGAAGUCAUUCCUCUCAUAGCUGGACUAUGGGAAGGAAAUUUUGCUUAGAAGAGGUAAAGAAAAGAAAAUGUUCCAUGUUCUGUGAGAAUGGAGCUCCUGUCCUCUGAGAAUUAGACCUAAAGGGCUAAGCCUUCACUCAGGACAUGGAGGGGGUAGAGACCAGGCCUGCAAGAGAUGGAACCUUCCCAAUAUAGGUAGUGUAGUAAUGCCCUGGGGAAGAGCAGAGAUACAGAUGUCAUGUGAAUCAUGAAGGGCUGCCUGAGUCCAUCACAUCAAGAUGGGGU